This 1419-nucleotide long non-coding RNA is filed under the name Helianthus annuus (common sunflower). RNAcentral describes it as "hypothetical non coding rna". The record is from RNAcentral. Lineage: Eukaryota; Viridiplantae; Streptophyta; Magnoliopsida; Asterales; Asteraceae.
UCUUCAAUUAUUGUGCCCCCUAAUCUCCUUCUCAGAUUCAAGCAAUUGAGCAUCUUCGUAUUCAGCGGUCUGCAUUCUGCACUAUCUGAUUCCAGAAAUCGUUAAUCGAUUAUAUGAUGUGGUUAUUUGAUUUGCUCAAGCAUCUCGAUAGUGACAUUUUGACCCGUUACACAAUUUGAGUUAGCCCAAAUGAACUUGCAUGUAGCGUGGAGCUAGUGGUAGACUGAGUUCAAAAGCUGGUAAAAAGGUGUGGAUGGUAAUGGACCUAUUCAUUAUAGUAGUCGUAAUACUUGAUGAAAUUUCUAUUGAGUCAUAAUCGAAUCUGCGUUUUUAUUGGGUUUGAUAAUACCAUCAGUUUGUCUAUGUGCAAUCUUUUGAUGUGGUCUGUAUCCAAAGUAAAAGUGUAGCAACUUAGUGUCUAAUACUUUGAUUAUUUGUUCUAAUAGACCAUAUACUAAUUCCAGUUGUUGUCACUUGUCCUUCAUUGUGUUCUUAUGAAUUAUGAUGAAUGAAAGGAAGAAAUUAACAAGAAAUGAUAAGUUCAAAAUUGAUGUUGGGUGAAAUCUACUUGUUGGCUAGCUUGUUAUUGAACUCGUGAAAAAAACGUUUAUAAAGUUGGAAGUUUCUCUAUGUUUUAAAUAUUGUUUCUUUAGUUUUUUUGGUAAAAGGUUUCUAACUGUUAUGUUUGUUAUGGGUUGGGUAGUGUACUCGCUCUCCUUGCUUAUUUACACCGACUAAAACUUCAUAAUUUAGUUUAGUCUGGUGCUCAACGAGUUGCUUCAUAUACUUAGCUUUUAAUUUGAAGUUUGGAACCUUUUUCAUAUAUUUAAUUUUAAUUUGUAUUAUAGAACACAUUGCUUCUGUACAUCUGUUGAGUCUUGUGCACAAUGCGUUUAUCUUAUUCAAUGUAUUAAUGUUAUGUAUUGUGUACAGAAGAAAUUAUCACUCGGUAUAAAUCACAGUUAAGGUACAUUCUCAACUCAUUAGUGUGUAAACUAUUUUGUGGCAGUUGAAAUAAUAAGAACUAAGUUGCUGUAAAUUAUUACAGACUGUUUUAAUGUGCUGGGCUGAAAACAGCCUCACGGCAUCAACACACAUCGGUUGUUUGUUGCUAGUAAAAUCAUAACUGAUUUCCAGCAGUUCAUAUAGACAGUGUUAACAGUAGUGUAAUAUGAAUGUAUAACUGGUGUGAAAUUUAACUUUUAGCAAGUCUAGUGGCAAACAAAACCAAACAAAAUCAAAGUGGACAAAGAGAAAUCAAUGAUUUUUGGGUACAAUAGCUUGUAAUCACCGUUAUGCGCCAUUGAUCCAUGGUUCAUUGAAGAAAGUGCCACAUAAAGAUAAAAGAUGGUAGUAUGUCUUGGUAUUAAGGUUUUAAGUAUUAUUUCUUUUAUUUGCUAAUUCUAUUUUUUUAAAGGA